ACCGAAGUCCCGGAGAUGGCUUGUUGUUACCUUUGAGAGAAUCUUAUGAAGCAUGGAAGGAAGGAGAGAAGCCAAGUUAAAGUUCGACAUGGAGAGAUAUUUGUUUAAUCAAGUAAAUGGAGAGAUUUUCGUUUUACUUAUUUGGAGAAGGUGAUAAACCCUUUUAUAAUGGGGAUGAUCCUCUAACCGAAUACACGUAGUAUGGAAGUUCAACUAACGUGUAGAGAAAAGUAUAAACUGAGUAUUUAUUACCCCCACUUAAGGGUGAUUUGAUAGACGCCUCGAGAAGACACGAGUUCAGAAGACAUGACUUCUCAGUGCACAUGGGUUGGAUUUGAAACUUUGAAAAACUC
This 353-nucleotide long non-coding RNA is filed under the name Brassica rapa (field mustard). RNAcentral's name for it is "long non-coding RNA (BRAP_LNC002874)". The record is from RNAcentral. Lineage: Eukaryota; Viridiplantae; Streptophyta; Magnoliopsida; Brassicales; Brassicaceae.